ACGUGCACUGAACGAGUGAGAUGCGGGAUGCUGGGCGGAUGUUGUGGCGUUUGCUGCACCAACUAGUGGCGGCAUUUCUGAAGCUCGUAACUCGGAUUUUGGCUUGCAACUCAAAGCAAAAAAUCAACCGAGUGACGGCUUGUAACUCAGAAAACUCAUAAGUUGGGGCACUCGUAAGUCAAGGAGUUUCAACUGAAGUGUGAACUGUGGACCAUGAAUGACCUAAAAAAGCGGUCAGACUGCAGUGUUGAGAAGUUAGAAUCCCUGAGUGCAGUCUUCUCAAAGAGGAUUAAUGAUCAAGAAAAAGCCUAUAAAGUGCAUUGCAAAUUCAUGGAAGAAGCCGUAAAAAAUGCCAGCGAGACCAGCAGUGGAGCAAGAAAGGUCUACAAAAUAUUGUCAGGAUCUUGAAUCUCUUCACAUUUUGAGUUUCCCAUAUUCAGGAUAGUCAAGAAAAUAAGCUUUUUUCAAAUCAACCUGUAUGAUUUUUUUUUUUUUUGAAUCGUCAGAUUACAAAGAAAAUUUAUUUUUAUUUUAAUGAGGGGGAAGCAUUAACCCUUAAACUGUCCAAGCAGAUCUACGUUCACAUGCGUAGUGCUCCAAAAGUAGAUCAAAGUUUUUUUUACACGUUUUCAAAUGUAAAAAAAAAAAAUUACUUUUUUACAUACUUUCAAAUGUUGAAAAAACAUAUACAUUUGGACCGUUUACAGGUUAAACUCAUAGGGUUUGUAUACAGCACAUUAUUCUUAUAUUGAUAGCAAAAUGCUGACUUCAACUUGAACAUAAAUAUAAUAGUUACUCCUUGCUCAACAUUGAGGCUUUGUAAUAAAAUAGGCUGUUUUCAAAGAAGUACGUUAUAUACAAUAUAUAACAGGGGUCUCCCUUCAAUGGAAGGGGGAGGGGACUUGAUGCCACUUAAGGGCUCUUGAUCCAGGGAAUUGGAGCUGCAAUCCCUUUGUAUGAAACUAGAUUACUUGUCAUUCCCUAAUGAGCUUAGUAUUUCCCCAUACAUAUAAUUAAAAUCUACUUUCCUAUUGAAUUGCACUAUAAAAAAUAGUAUUGUUUAAUACUUAACCAUAAAGCUUUAGCAUAUCAUAGUAUAUGUUAAUCUUUAGUAAGAGGGGAGUUUGAUGCUGAUGGGCUCUUGAUCCAAGGAACUGAAGUUGCUUUCCCCUUCUUUGGAUUGAACCUGAUUACCUUAGGUGCUAUAUAAAAUGAAUACAUAAUAAUAAUAAUAAUAAUGUUUAUUUCAGCAUAAUACUGUGUUUAUACAAAGGAAAUGAGAUUUUGGUGUACAUGCUGAAAAUGUUUGUUUUGUUGACCUUGCCGGUGGUGGGAUACAAUCUUUAGGUAAAUGAAAGUUUAGGUAAUCAGAGUUGAUUCAAGGGUGGGAGGGCAACUCCAUUUCAUUAGAUUAAGAGCACUUCAUUAUCAGAUGCAGUGAAUUUAUAUGACCUAUUAAAUAUUUAGAGGGUUGAGGCCAUUAAAAAUCUCAGGCUCAAAUACUUUAAUUAAAGUACUGCACUUCAUUGAAGCUCCAGUCAAUGGCUCGUCUGCACUUAAUGUUAAACCUUUCAUUCUAAUGUUAAAUUUUACCCACUAAAUAAUUUUUGUUUGAUCAUUAAUUAUCCAUUAUGUUAGUUAAGCAUAUUUUAGUUUAAUUCUCACAGAAAAUGUGAGUGCAGAUGCUAGUGUUGUGGACCGAUUUGUUAUUAUCUUUGAAAUAUUUUACACAAGAUACAUUUUGAAAGGUUUCCCAUUAUCAUAUUUGUAAGGAAGUGCUAAACUUGUAUGAAUUUCUAUUAUAUCCAGUAAUGCAAAUACUGUACAUUGAGUAUUUAAAUUUUUGAAAAGGAAAAUACAGUGGAACCUUGUUUUUCAGCUGUAAUCCGUUCCAGGUCGGCCCAAAUAUGAGACAGCCGAAAUUUGAAGUAAUAUUUCCCAUAAGAAUUAAUGUAAAUACAAUUAAUCCAUUUCAGACACCCAAAAAUAUUCACAAAAAAAUACAUUUUUUAAAGAAUAA
Cherax quadricarinatus is the source of this 2020-nucleotide non-coding RNA. Lineage: Eukaryota; Metazoa; Arthropoda; Malacostraca; Decapoda; Parastacidae. The record is from RefSeq and is a predicted model, not a curated record.